GUGACAGAGUGAGGGAGGUGGUGACUGUUACUAGUGACAGAGUGAGGAAGGGGGUGACACAGUGAGAGAGUGAGGAAGGGGGUGACUAGUGACAGAGUGAAGGAGGUGGUGACUGUCACUAGUCACCCCCUCCCUCUCUCUCUCUGUCACUAGUGACACCCUCCCUCACUCUGUCACUAGUCACCCCCUCUCUCUGUCACUAUUCACACCCUCCCUCUCUCUGUCACUAGUCACCCCCUCCCUCUCUCUGUCAC
Pelobates cultripes (western spadefoot toad) is the source of this 254-nucleotide non-coding RNA. Lineage: Eukaryota; Metazoa; Chordata; Amphibia; Anura; Pelobatidae. The record is from the annotation of a GenBank genome assembly.